RNAcentral lists this ribosomal RNA (1869 nucleotides) under Triticum aestivum (bread wheat). RNAcentral's name for it is "partial small subunit ribosomal RNA". Lineage: Eukaryota; Viridiplantae; Streptophyta; Magnoliopsida; Poales; Poaceae. The record is from RNAcentral.
AUGGCAGCUUGGGCCGCGCUGCGCCGCCUCCGCUCACCGCGGCUCCGCCUCGCCUCCACCUUCACCCACCACGGCGCCGCCGCCGUCUCCGCCACCGACGCGUUCAUCCAUGUCCAAGACCCGAACCGCCGCAUCGCGGAGCUGGCCGCCGCGGGGCGCGUCCCCGACGCCCGCAGGCUGUUCGACCGGACGCCGGACCGGGACGUGGUGUCCUGGACGGCGAUGGUCGCGGCGUACGCGCGCCAGGGCCAGCUCCACGAGGCCAGCGCGCUGUUCCACCGCCCCGACGCGCGCCGGAACGUGGUCACCUGGACGGCGCUCCUCUCCGGCUACGCGCGGGCGCGCCGCGCCGACGAGGCCAGGGCGCUGUUCGACCGGAUGCCCGAGAGGAACGUCGUGUCGUGGAACACGAUGCUGGAGGCCUACGCCUCCGCUGGCCGCACGGGGGCCGCGUGCGCGCUGUUCGACAGCAUGCCGGUGAGGGACACCGGCUCCUGGAACAUCCUUCUGGCCGCGCUGGUGCGGUCUGGGACCAUGGACGAGGCACGGAACCUGUUUGAGAGAAUGCCCGAGAGGAAUGUGAUGUCGUGGACGACGAUGGUCGCCGGCCUUGCACGGAGCGGGAGCGUGGACGAGGCUCGAGUGCUGUUUGAUGGCAUGCCGGAGAGGAAUGUUGUUUCCUGGAAUGCCAUGAUCUCUGGAUACGCCCGGAACCUCAGGAUCGAUGAAGCUCUUGAUCUGUUCAUGAAUAUGCCCGAGAGGGACGUGGCUUCUUGGAACAUCAUGAUCACCGGUUUUAUCCAGAACAAAGAUUUGAAGAAGGCACAGGAGCUCUUUGACGAGAUGCCUAAAAGGAAUGUAGUCAGCUGGACUACUAUGAUGAAUGGUUGCUUGCAAGGUAAUGAGAGCGAAAUGGCACUGCAGGUAUUUAACGGUAUGCUCGUUGAUGGGAUCAGACCAAACCAGGUGACGUUUUUGGGUGCGGUUGAUGCGUGCAGCAAUAUCGCCGGACUCAGCGAAGGGCAGCAGGUGCAUCAGAUGAUAUGCAAAACACCAUUUCAGUUUGAUAAUUUUAUCGAGUCCACACUCAUGAAUUUAUAUGGCAAAUGUGGAGAAAUUAGAUUGGCAAGGAAGGUGUUUGAUCUCUCAGGGGAGAAGGACGUAAUAUCUUGGAAUGGCAUUAUUGCAGCAUAUGCACAUCAUGGGGCUGGUGUAGAAGCUAUAGCUUUGUAUGAAAAGAUGCAAGAAAAUGGGUAUAAGCCUAAUGAUGUCACAUACGUGGGAUUGCUCUCAGCAUGUAGCCACUCUGGUUUGGUCGACGAAGGGCUUAGGAUAUUUGAAUACAUGGCAAAGGAUAAGUCCAUUGCAGUGCGGGAUGAGCAUUACACUUGCUUGAUUGAUCUCUGUAGCCGAGCCGGGCGACUUGAUGAUGCCAAAAGAUUAAUCAACGGUCUUAAACUUAAGCCUACAUCCAGUACUGUAUGGAGUGCGCUUCUAGGUGGGUGUAACGCACAUGGAAAUGAAAGCAUCGGUGAUUUGGCAGCAAGAAAUCUCUUAGAAGCAGAGCCUGAUAAUGCUGGAACCUACACUCUCUUGUCUAACAUUUAUGCUUCUGCUGGUAAGUGGAAAGAAGCAGCAAAGAUUCGGUCUCAGAUGAAUGAUCGAGGACUAAAGAAACAGCCGGGAUGUAGUUGGAUUGAGCUGGCAAAUAAGGUGCAUGUAUUUGUAGCACGUGACAAGUCCCACAGUGAGUCUGAGUUGAUUUAUAGUCUGCUGCAAGAUAUUCAUCACAUGAUGAGGAUGGCUGGCAGUGAUCCCAGGGACCACAUGCAGCUUAUGGAUGAGGAUCUGGUGGAUCUUCAAGCAUAA